This is a long non-coding RNA of Trichogramma pretiosum, 909 nucleotides long. RefSeq lists it as uncharacterized. The transcript has 3 exons. The record is from RefSeq and is a predicted model, not a curated record. Lineage: Eukaryota; Metazoa; Arthropoda; Insecta; Hymenoptera; Trichogrammatidae.
AACAAGUGUUUAUAAAUUGGUGAUAUCGAGGAACAGUGUUCACUACCUAAAACAUAUAACCUCAAAUCGCGAAAAGUCACAGGGAUUACACUAUAAUCAAGCAAGUCAUGGAAAGCAGAGAGGACUCUUUUAGGGUGAAGGAAGAGCCAAACGAUACUUAACCGGAUGCAGGCAACGAGAAUAUUUUCGAUCUGGUGGACACUUGCAAAAAUGAAAACUUUGACACAUUUACAUUUUAUAAAUCGCCAGCAAAUCACAUAAAUGAGUUGAAUGAACGAAUAUUCAUAGAUUUGGAAUGCAAACAUGUCAAACUUGAACCAAAGUCUGUAUCAAAAACUGUCUGCAAAACUGAAUAUCAAAGUUGGCUUCCUUUUGUGAAAAAAGAAAAUGAAACUCAGAACAAUUACUUGCAAGAAAAAAUGCUAUUAAUUUUAAUAAGAAAAGGAUUCAACUACGAAAAUAACAGUCGAUUUCAAGAAAAUUCCUGUUCGAAGCUUGUCGAAACCGAGGAAGUCAAAAUACUGAAAAAAAUAAAUCGAACCAAAUUAUCUCAUAAAUGUAAUUUGUGUCAAAAAAUUUAUAAAGAAGAGACGAGUCUAAAAAUGCAUAUCAAUACGAUACAUAAAAGAACUAGGCCUUUUAAGUGUAAGAUUUGUCACAAAUUAUUUGGAAAUCAGUUGAAACUUGAAUGACAUGCGAUGACAAAACAUAAUCGUAGCAAACCUUUCGAUUGUGAGAUUUGUCACAAAUCAUUUGGGCAGAAACAUCACCUCAAAGAUCAUAUCAAUGGAGUACAUGAUCGUAACAGACCCUCCGAGUGUGACGUUUGUUACAAAUCAUUUGCACAGAAAAGUCAUCUGAAUGUUCACAUAAGUACAGUACAUGAUCGUAGCAAACUCCUCGAGUGUG